Molecule: long non-coding RNA, 475 nt
Organism: Hemicordylus capensis (graceful crag lizard)
Lineage: Eukaryota; Metazoa; Chordata; Lepidosauria; Squamata; Cordylidae
Exons: 3
Source: RefSeq, a predicted model, not a curated record
AAAUUUUUUGGGACUGGACAGAAUGAAGCGGAUGGACAUGAGGGAAGCUGUGUGUGUCCAUGCUUGCCAGCCUUUCCAUGUGAAUGUAACAUAAGGGGGAAAAAUAUGGGUACCUCCAUCUUUUCUGGGGUGUUCCUUCUGAUAUGCAGGUCCAAACCAUGCAGGGAUUUAAAGGAAUGUCCCUGUUUGGCUUGGUGGCAGAGUCUGAGAGUGCUUGCUUGCUGUCACCUCAACAACAUGGCCUGAAAAUGCUGCGCACCCACCGGAAGUUGUGCGUGGGGGAUGAUAUUGUCCUCUGCCUCAGACAGAAACAUGUCUUGGAUCACCCCUGAUCUCAGGAAUAGGUCUUUCCCAUCCCCGUUACCCAUGGUCCUUCAACUGGAGAUGCCUGGAAUUGAACCUGGGAUCCUCUGCAUGCAAAAACACAGGCUACCCUAGGCUAGUGGAGUUUGGCCAACCAUGUGCAAGCUUGACC